AGAGUUUGAUCAUGGCUCAGGAUAAACGCUGGCGGCGCACAUAAGACAUGCAAGUCGAACGGAAGUCGUUAAGAAACGGAAUGAAGAUUUAUCGGAAUGAAGUUUUUUAACAAAGACUUUAGUGGCGGACUGGUGAGUAACGCGUGAGCAACCUGCCUAUCAGAGGGGAAUAACAGUGAGAAAUCAUUGCUAAUACCGCAUAUGCUCACAGUAUCACAUGUUACAGUGAGGAAAGGAGCAAUCCGCUGAUAGAUGGGCUCGCGUCUGAUUAGCUAGUUGGUGGGGUAAAGGCCUACCAAGGCGACGAUCAGUAGCCGGACUGAGAGGUUGAACGGCCACAUUGGGACUGAGAUACGGCCCAGACUCCUACGGGAGGCAGCAGUCGGGAAUAUUGCGCAAUGGAGGGAACUCUGACGCAGUGACGCCGCGUAUGGGAAGAAGGUUUUCGGAUUGUAAACCAUUGUCGUUAGGGAAGAAGAAGUGACAGUACCUAAGGAGGAAGCUCCGGCUAACUAUGUGCCAGCAGCCGCGGUAAUACAUAGGGAGCGAGCGUUAUCCGGAUUUAUUGGGUGUAAAGGGUGCGUAGACGGGAAUUUAAGUUGGUUGUGAAAUCCCUCGGCUCAACUGAGGAACUGCAACCAAAACUGAAUUUCUUGAGUGCUGGAGAGGAAAGUGGAAUUCCUAGUGUAGCGGUGAAAUGCGUAGAUAUUAGGAGGAACACCAGUGGCGAAGGCGACUUUCUGGACAGCGACUGACGUUGAGGCACGAAAGUGUGGGGAGCAAACAGGAUUAGAUACCCU
RNAcentral lists this ribosomal RNA (800 nucleotides) under uncultured bacterium. RNAcentral's name for it is "bacterial SSU rRNA". It matches the Rfam family "Bacterial small subunit ribosomal RNA", at positions 8 to 788 of the family's 1533-position model. The record is from RNAcentral.